This 85-nucleotide transfer RNA is filed under the name Alphaproteobacteria bacterium. Its description in RNAcentral is "tRNA-Leu". It matches the Rfam family "tRNA". From Rfam's summary of the family: Transfer RNA (tRNA) molecules are approximately 80 nucleotides in length. Their secondary structure includes four short double-helical elements and three loops (D, anti-codon, and T loops). Further hydrogen bonds mediate the characteristic L-shaped molecular structure. tRNAs have two regions of fundamental functional importance: the anti-codon, which is responsible for specific mRNA codon recognition, and the 3' end, to which the tRNAs corresponding amino acid is attached (by aminoacyl-tRNA synthetases). tRNAs cope with the degeneracy of the genetic code in two manners: having more than one tRNA (with a specific anti-codon) for a particular amino acid; and 'wobble' base-pairing, i.e. permitting non-standard base-pairing at the 3rd anti-codon position. The record is from RNAcentral. Lineage: Bacteria; Pseudomonadati; Pseudomonadota; Alphaproteobacteria.
GCCCCUGUGGCGGAAUUGGUAGACGCGGUAGACUCAAAAUCUUCUUCUUUCGGGAGUGGGAGUUCGACUCUCCCCGGGGGCACCA